Molecule: non-coding RNA, 74 nt
Organism: Minicystis rosea
Lineage: Bacteria; Pseudomonadati; Myxococcota; Polyangiales; Polyangiaceae
Source: Rfam
GUCCUCAUCGGCUAGCUGGUCUAGGCCUCCGGAUUCUCACUCCGGGAACGCGGGUUCGACUCCCGCUGGGGACG